UGAGUCCUUGUGUCUCUGCUGAGGUCC
Molecule: non-coding RNA, 27 nt
Filed under: Homo sapiens (human)
Lineage: Eukaryota; Metazoa; Chordata; Mammalia; Primates; Hominidae
Source: RNAcentral